Molecule: ribosomal RNA, 433 nt
Filed under: uncultured bacterium
Lineage: Bacteria
Description: partial 16S ribosomal RNA
Rfam family: Bacterial small subunit ribosomal RNA
Source: RNAcentral
AACGAACGCUGGCGGCAUGCCUAACACAUGCAAGUCGAACGAGACCUCCGGGACUAGUGGCGCUUGCGUGCGGAACGCGGGGGAAGCUGCCCUUAGGCUCGGAAUACUUCCCUGAAGGGGGUGCUAAUGCCGGAUAAUUUACUCGGAUACAAGAUAUGGCGUCUUUGGAGGGGCACGCGUUGAAUUAGCUAGUUGGUAGGGAAAAAGCCUAUCACGGCGUCGCUCGUUAGCUGGUCUGAGAGGAUGAUCAGCCACACUGAGACUGAGACACGGCCCAGACUCCUACGGGAGGCAGCAGUGGGGAAUAUUGGACAAUGGGCGAGGGCCUGAUCCAGCAAUGCCGCGUAAGUGAUGAAGUCCUUAGGGUAGUAAAGCAGUUUUACACGGGGUUAUAAUGACGGUACCGGGAGAAUAAGCACCGGCUAACUCCGUG